CGGAAAACAAGUGAGGCUUAAUCAAGAUAGGAGUUUAUUUCUCUCUCCCAAAAGAAGUCUGGAAGCAGGCAGGCCCGGGCUGUGACUGGGUCUUCGUGAACUAAGUCCUAAAGAUCUAGACUGGUAGCCCUCUGGCCUCCUCAGAAGAAAGAGAGAGACGGAGGACAGGCCUCUCCCUGGGAAAAACUGCCCGGAAACCCCUCACAGCACUUCUUGGAUUCCUUUGGACAGAACUUGAUCAACAUGGCAACAGCUGAAUGAAAGGGAAUUUGGAAAGUGUCAUUUUAAGUCUGGCUGGCUCUGUGCCUUCCUCAUUUCAGAGUCCCGUCCCUGACGAAGCAGGAGACACAACCAGCAGACUCUGCCACAGUCUUCGCGUAUAUAUCCCAUGUGAUGCCUUUAUCCUCAGUCCUUGGAAAGUUUUUCUCCAUGACUGCAAAAUCCUGCUUCCAAGAUGCACUGCCCCUCUCCAGGAGGUAUGGAGGGACUCAGAAUUCUCACUGCAUUAAUGAGGGGAUAUGAAAUAUUUUCCUGCUUCUCUGAGCCUGUGGUUAGAGCAGAGGUCCCCAGUGCCUGAGCCACGGAUCAG
RNAcentral lists this long non-coding RNA (589 nucleotides) under Cercocebus atys (sooty mangabey). RNAcentral's name for it is "lncRNA (ENSCATG00000045558.1)". Lineage: Eukaryota; Metazoa; Chordata; Mammalia; Primates; Cercopithecidae. The record is from RNAcentral.